CGUGUCCGGUAGUGGGGGAUAGCCCGGCGAAAGCCGGAUUAAUACCGCAUACGAUCUAAGGAUGAAAGCGGGGGAUCUUCGGACCUCGCGCUAUAGGGGCGGCCGAUGGCAGAUUAGCUAGUUGGUGGGGUAAAGGCCUACCAAGGCGACGAUCUGUAGCUGGUCUGAGAGGACGACCAGCCACACUGGGACUGAGACACGGCCCAGACUCCUACGGGAGGCAGCAGUGGGGAAUUUUGGACAAUGGGCGCAAGCCUGAUCC
This 262-nucleotide ribosomal RNA is filed under the name Robbsia andropogonis. Its description in RNAcentral is "partial 16S ribosomal RNA". It matches the Rfam family "Bacterial small subunit ribosomal RNA", at positions 125 to 389 of the family's 1533-position model. Lineage: Bacteria; Pseudomonadati; Pseudomonadota; Betaproteobacteria; Burkholderiales; Burkholderiaceae. The record is from RNAcentral.